RNAcentral lists this small RNA (118 nucleotides) under Actinobacteria bacterium OK074. Its description in RNAcentral is "Streptomyces-metK RNA". It matches the Rfam family "Streptomyces-metK RNA". Lineage: Bacteria; Bacillati; Actinomycetota; Actinomycetes. The record is from Rfam by way of RNAcentral.
UCGAGACGGGGAGGCCCGCGGCAAGGUCCGACCGAUAAACUGUUCUCGGACGAGGCCGGGCGCAGCCUCCGAGCCCGUCCGCCAAUGAUCAGCCAGCAGCCGCUGCAACCCCAGGGAG